Non-coding RNA from Turdus rufiventris (rufous-bellied thrush), 76 nucleotides. Lineage: Eukaryota; Metazoa; Chordata; Aves; Passeriformes; Turdidae. The record is from the annotation of a GenBank genome assembly.
CCAUGCCGUGGGCCCUGGCAGUCCCGCCCGCCCCUGGUGGGUGCCAGCUGGCGUGGCUCGGCUUCCACGGCAUGGC